AUGUGUUCCUGUUAACAAUUUCAUAAAAUCCCAGUUAAAAUGGAGUCGUUCAAAUGGAUAAUCUGAAUUUUUCUACAUGCUUCUUGGCUACUUUUGACAGACGUUUUUAGGAUGUCUUUAGACGUCGGCGUUAUUGCUUCCCUAUGCUUCGUGUAUAAACAUAAUGGCGUCGGUGCGUUCGAAAGUUGCGUCCAGACAAAGAGACAACGGUAUUUCUGCAGGCUUUUUUAUUGCUAAUUAUGAAACGUGCGAUAUAGUGUCCAAAAGGAAAGAUAGCCACAAAAAGAACAAAAAAAAAGAAGAAUUAUUGAAAUGCAACGACACUAACACAUUCAGACAAUUUAGAUAAUUAUACAAAUUUUUAUUAUUUUAUAAGUAUAACGUCAGAAGUGAGAACAUAAUACAUACAGAAAGAACUAUACAUACACAAAUAUUUAGAAAU
This is a long non-coding RNA of Linepithema humile (Argentine ant), 442 nucleotides long. RefSeq lists it as uncharacterized. The record is from RefSeq and is a predicted model, not a curated record. Lineage: Eukaryota; Metazoa; Arthropoda; Insecta; Hymenoptera; Formicidae.